RNAcentral lists this ribosomal RNA (1233 nucleotides) under metagenome. Its description in RNAcentral is "bacterial LSU rRNA". It matches the Rfam family "Bacterial large subunit ribosomal RNA", at positions 1564 to 2808 of the family's 2925-position model. The record is from RNAcentral.
UGAUGACGAGACGCUAAGGCGUUGAAGCAGUGUAUGUCAGACUUCCAAGAAAAGCUCGCAAUGUCACAAAUAAAAAUGCCUGUACCAUAACCGACACAGGUGGGUAGGUAGAGUAUACUAAGGGGCGCGAGAUAACUCUCUCUAAGGAACUCGGCAAAAUGACUCCGUAACUUCGGGAGAAGGAGUGCCUUAUUUAUAAGGUUGCAAUAACAAGAUCCAAGCAACUGUUUAUCAAAAACACAGGUCUCCGCUAAGUCGUAAGACGAUGUAUGGGGGCUGACGCCUGCCCAGUGCCAGAAGGUUAAAGAAGUUGGUUAGUGUAUGCGAAGCUGAUGACUGAAGCCCUGGUGAACGGCGGCCGUAACGAUAACGGUCCUAAGGUAGCGAAAUUCCUUGUCGGGUAAGUUCCGACCCGCACGAAAGGCGUAAUGAUUUGGAUACUGUCUCGGAGAGAGGCUCGGUGAAAUAGACUUGUCUGUGAAGAUGCGGACUACCUGCACCAGGACAGAAAGACCCUAUGAAGCUUUACUGUAACUUGAAAUUGGAAUUGGACUUUGCUUGCGCAGUAUAGGUGGGAAGCGUUGAAAAUAUUCUUGCGGGAGUAUUGGAGCUAUCAGUGAGAUACCACUCUUGUAAUGUUAGAUUUCUAACUUUGAACCAUAAUCUGGUCAAAGAACAGUUUCAGGUGGGCAGUUUGACUGGGGCGGUCGCCUCCCAAAUGGUAACGGAGGCGUACAAAGGUUUCCUCUGAACGGAUAGAAAUCGUAUCUAGAGUGUAAAGGCAUAAGGAAGCUUGACUGUGAGACCUACAAGUCGAGCAGGGACGAAAGUCGGUCUUAGUGAUCUGACGGUACUGAGUGGAAAGGCCGUCACUCAACGGAUAAAAGUUACUCUAGGAUAACAGGCUGAUCUCCCCCAAGAGUUCACAUCGACGGGGAGGUUUGGCACCUCGAUGUCGGCUCAUCGCAUCCUGGGGCGGUAGUACGUCCCAAGGGUUGGGCUGUUCGCCCAUGAAAGCGGUACGCGAGCUGGGUUCAGAACGUCGUGAGACAGUUCGGUCCAUAUCCGGUGUAGGCGCUAGAAUAUUGAGAGGAGCCUUCUUUAGUACGAGAGGACCGAGAAGGACACACCGCUGGUGUACCAGUUAUCGUGCCAACGGUAAACGCUGGGUAGCUAUGUGUGGAGUGGAUAACCGCUGAAAGCAUCUAAGUGGGAAGCCCACCUCGAGAUGAG